RNAcentral lists this long non-coding RNA (4173 nucleotides) under Arabidopsis thaliana (thale cress). RNAcentral's name for it is "long non-coding RNA (ATHA_LNC000665)". The record is from RNAcentral. Lineage: Eukaryota; Viridiplantae; Streptophyta; Magnoliopsida; Brassicales; Brassicaceae.
UCUUCCCCGACGCCAUCGGCCACCACAUCCAAGGUGUCACCAUCCACGACGGUGAAUGGGACUCCCAUGGAGCCAUCAAGAUUUGGAACUACACAUGCGGUAAAAAUAUACACUUAUUUUAGUUAUAUAACUCACGUCUGAAAACUAGAGCUUGGAAUAAUACUCGAGGUUAAUCACAUAAAAAUGAAUAUAUAGUUGUACGACUUUGUCACAAGAAUACAGAGAAUCCAUUUUUCAAAAGGUUUCACUGCAUAUAUGUAAACUCAUAUCUCUCUAAAUUUGAUUCACUUUAUUAAUUUAUGAACCCGACAAAUUUAUUCAGAAAGCUUCUCCAAAAGUAGAUCUGCGGAUUUUUUCGAAAGGAAUUACAAGUAACAACUACACGUGAUGGAAUAAUCUCUUUACCUUAAAAUUUAGUUGAGUGUUACAUAUAUUAUAUAUAUAGUUCCAACAUAUAUAUGCACUUUAGUACAGAAAAAAAAAACAUAUAUAUGCAUGUUGCUAACUUAUAAAUGGAACACAUAUAUGAAAAGAUGGGAAACCGGAGGUGUUCAAGGAGAGGAGAGAGAUAGACGAUGAGAAUAUGGCGGUAACGUUCAGAGGACUCGAAGGUCACGUGAUGGAGCAGCUUAAAGUGUAUGACGUCAUCUUUCAGUUCAUUCAAAAGUCACCUGAUGAUAUCAUCUGUAAGAUCACUAUGAUCUGGGAGAAGCAAAACGAUGACAUGCCUGAGCCCAGCAACUACAUGAAGUUCGUCAAGAGCCUCGCUGCUGACAUGGAUGAUCACGUUCUCAAAGCCUAAAUAUCCCUUUCACAUCAACCCAUCAUCACCUAAUAUCAUGAUCAUCAUCACCCUCAUACGUACAUUGCUCCUUUUGUGUGUGUGUGUGUGUAUCGUUUUUAUGGUGUUUUCAAUAUAAUAAAUGGGGGUUUACAUGUAUGGUUUCAUCUACUAUAAUAUGCUUUGAUGUUGUUUAUUAUGGUUGAGGUUUCAUGUAUGCUCAUCUACGCAUGUAUCCUUGUUAAUUAAUGAUUUUCAAGAGUUAUCAAUCAAUACUGCCCUUUUUUAAAGUGUUGCACUACGUAUGUAUCAGCUUCCACAAGCUCACAUUGUAUACAGCAUUUGUGGUUGUAUUAUUCAUCAUUUUGUACGUUCAAUUAUGGUUAUUAUUCAUACACAGUAUUCAUUAUAUUUAUAGUGGUUGUAUAGUAUAUUUAGUUGCUGUUGCUGUCUUUGUAUGUUCAUUUAGUGUAUAGUAAUUAAUGCUGACUUUAUAAGUUCAUAUAGUGGUUGUAACAUUUAUCAUUUCUAUGAGUAUAUAUUAUUACUCAUGUCCUCCGAAAUUGGACAACAUUUAAACGAUACAAGCAAGGAAGACAAUAAAAAUACAAAAAUAUUUCCUUCGAAACUCUAGUAAAGAAAGCAUAUAAUGAAACCAGCAUUUAGCAAAGAUGAGGGGUCUAUGUGGGAUGGGGGUCUUGUUGGUUCAAUGAUGUAAAAAAUCAUUACGAUUUGUUUUAAGGCUAUUGUUUUUAAUGGGUUGAUAUAUGAAUGACGAGGACAAUGGUCAUGUAUAUGGAUUUUGUCAAACCUACUAAUUAGAAUUGUGUUGUAUGAUAAGAACUUGGAAAACGUGAAUUAUGUAUGGUAUACAGCACAAUCGCAAGUAUCAGUAAAUAUCUAUUAAUCUAACAUAUAAAUUUUGAGUUUAUAUGAUUCUAUAUAUCUUUGUAAAUAAAUAAUGUUUAUGCUGUGCUUGACAAAAAAAAUGAUUAUGUGUACGUACGUAUGCUAAGAGAUGAUCAAAAUUAUAACUAGAGACAUUAUUAGAGCAAAGUACCAGAUAAGACUUUUAAAGAUAUUUGGAAUAUUAUAUGAAAUAUGAAAGUAUCAGUUUAAUAAAUACUAAAUGUAGAAAAAUUACAAUCGUGACAGUUAGCUUAACUCAAACUUUAUACUAAAAACUAUCUAUACUAUUAAUUGGGAAUCAUCGGAAAAUUUACAACCUUUUGAAACCCGCACGUAUGUGCGGGUCAGGAUCUAGUGAUUCUUUAAAUUUGGAAACUCGAAUAUCUCAAACGAUAUUAAUUAUUCAGGAUAUUGAUAUUACAUGGAUGGAUCAUGGAAAUAAAGCGACAAAUUGUUUGGAGCAGAAUGGUACUAUACAUCAUCAAAUGGAGAGACGUCAACCAUGAGAACUGCAAAUCUUUAAGAAGUCUAUCCUCACUACAUGCAGAAGUGGAAGCGCUUCUCUGAUGAUGAGGUGUAUGAUUGGCGCUAACAAUCAAGACGUAGCUUUUCUAAUAGACUAUUCAGAUCAGGUGAAGAUGGUGUCUUUCCUAACCGAAUGACCAGCCUUCUCAGUGUAUUUGGAGGAUUUGAAAAACGACAAUGAAGAAUUUAAAAGUUUUCUUUUAUCUUUAAAUUUUAGUACAAAUGUUAAAGCGGAUAAUUUGGCACGAAAAGUUCUAUACCAAAUCACAUCAUAUCACAUAUGCAAACAACAUUCUUCGGGAAUGGAUCUUUAAUUUGAGUUCUAACUAAUAUCGGUUGACAAAAGAAAAAAGUUUAGAAAUAAUAUUAUCUCAUUUAAACUAGAUACAUAAAUGAAACAACAACACACCCAUACACACAAAAAGCGACUCUAUUUUGUUAAAUAGAUGAAGAGCCUCCUCUAGAAGAUGAAGUGAUAUCUCUAGAACCAGCACUUUCAACCUAGCCACAUAGUGAUGGAUUGAUUAAGGACAACACCUCAGAAAAAGACUUGUCUAUGCCAUGUAUACUUUCGCUAAGAAGUAAGAAGGGAGUGAUUUGGCGCCAGGUAAUUGCAAUGUUUGAAGCGGUCUUUUUGGGGGUCUAGCUACUUCAUCCUUCCAACUGUAGCUAUCUUGAGUCUCAGGGAAGAUCAUAACCAUUGUGAGCUUGUAGAAAAAGGCUUCUACAUUGUCACUGUGGGCACUCGUGAACUGCCAGCCAAUUUUAGAGGUCUAUAUAGAAUCUUUUUUAUCAAGAAAAUGUGUAUAACAUAUAAGAGCACCCUCAAUAGUGUAUCUUAGCAAAAUCUUAGGAUUAAAAGCAAUUAAAAUAAAGCAAACCAACAAUCCAAAGCUAAGAAGUGUAUUUUUCUUUAGAUGUUUUUCUUAAGUUAAGAUGUUUUUCUUAAGUUAAGAUGUUUAUAUGUGUUAUUUGAUGAUUGGUUUAAAAAAUGAACAAAAAUAGAAGAUAUUGUUUUAGAAAAAAUGAACAAAAUAGAAGAUAUUGUUUUAAAAAUAUCAAUGAAAGUCACAGCUGGCAGGAAAUCUACGGUAUCGUUAUCUGGUGGACUUUUCGGCAUUCAAGGAACAAUACAUCAUAUCAACAAACAAUAAUUAUGGUUUGUUUAAGGUUUAAAUUAAAAUUGAUGUAUGCAUUUGUCUACUCUAAUCCUUAUCAUUGAUUCAUUAUAUGCUUCUUUUUUUGUUGGUAAAACCAUUAUAUGCAUUUUGUCAAACCUAUCCUUAUCUUAAUAACAAACAAAAUACAUUGUAUGAUAAGAACUUGGACAACGUGAAAUAUGACUCAUUCUAAAUAUAUUAGCAGUAGAUAUCAAAUAAGUAUAAAACCCGGCUCAUCUAUUUUACGUCUAAACCGUUACACACUCUAUAUAUAAACGAAGGAAGAUCACACGUGAAAAUAGUCAUCAACCAAAGUAAGAAGCGCACACACACAACAUAUUUCUUUCACUACCCAAAGAGAUGGCGACAUCGGGAACAUAUGUGACGGAGGUUCCAUUGAAAGGAUCGGCGGAUAAACACUACAAGCGGUGGAGAGAUGAGAACCACCUCUUCCCCGAUGCCAUCGGCCACCACAUCCAAGGUGUCACUGUCCACGACGGUGAAUGGGACUCUCAUGAAGCCAUCAAGAUUUGGAACUAUACAUGCGGUAAAAAUACAUUUAUAUGGAAUCCAAAGAAUGGUGCUAACUUAAUGAAUGAAACAAAUAUGUACGCAUAUAUGUGCAGAUGGGAAACCGGAAGUGUUCAAGGAAAGGAAAGAGAUAGACGAUGAGAAUAUGGUGAUAACGUUCAGAGGACUAGAAGGUCACGUCAUGGAGCAGCUUAAAGUGUAUGAUCUCAUAUAUCAGUUCAGCCAAAAGUCUCCCGAUGAUAUCGUAUGCAAGAUCACAAUGAUUUG